GAGAAUAUACUCCCUGAUCCCUGGGCCACAAUAGAACAGUUGAAACAAAAAGCAGAUAAGAGAGUCAGAAGUGUUCGCUAUAAAGUAAUAGAAGAUUAUAGUGGUGCCUGCUGCCCUCUGAAUAAAGGAAUCAAAACCUUCUUCACAAGCCCCUGCACCGAAGAGCCUCGAAUACAGCUGCAAAAAGGGGAAUUCAUUUUAGCCACAAGAGGUUUACGAUACUGGUUAUAUGGAGACAAAAUUCUUGAUGAUUCCUUUAUAGAAGGUGUUUCAAGAAUAAGGGGAUGGUUCCCUAGAAAAUGUGUGGAAAAGUGUCCCUGUGAUGCUGAAACAGAUCAAGCCCCAGAGG
Molecule: small RNA, 349 nt
Filed under: Pan troglodytes (chimpanzee)
Lineage: Eukaryota; Metazoa; Chordata; Mammalia; Primates; Hominidae
Description: processed transcript
Source: RNAcentral